AAAAUUCGUAUAAAAAGGGAUUAUUUCAAUUAAAAUUUUACAAUUAAUAAAAAUGUAAUUACCAAUUCGUAAAAAUCAAAUACUAAUUAUCGAGUAAGUGUAGAUGUGUCUGGAAAUUGCAUAUAUCUUUUGCACCCUAAAAAGAGAAAAUCAUCAAACAAGGUGAGUUUUCCAACAAAGGCUGUGCAGGUUCAUCAUCUUACAAAAUUAGGAGUACCAAAUUGACGAUUUGGUUUGAGAAGAUUGAUGUUGUUGCUACUAACAAUUGUGCUGGUGAAGCUAUCUUACCGUGGAGGAAUGUAACAAUAGUGAUUAACCAUUCCACAGCCACAACCACGAUUUCUCCAGCACAAUAAAUUGCCCGCUUACAAAACCUUUAUUCUUUUUAGGUAUGUAAUUCCGUUGAGGACUUACCCGAAACAGAUGCGCUACCCAGCGCGUAACCUUGUCUCCCCUACUCCUCUUCUGGUUAUGCCAUUACCAAUCGCGGGUAACCCCCGGGCCGGCCGCCCCUGACCUAAUAAGAACGAUUAUCCUUAUGACCAAACAGCGAUAGUUUCACGAUCCCGACCAGCAACUUGUUGGGAGUAGGGGCAUCCAAGCUUGCGCGGCGCAGCAGUUCUUCCAUACCAACUUAGCAGCCCGGCGCUGCUAUUGGCAUAACAACCGGUACACCAUAGGUUGGCCCAACCCAGUCCUCUCGUACUAGGGUUGGCUCCUCGCAGUUCUCCCUUUAACACCAACGGUAGAUAGGAACCGAACUGUCGGAAGCUGUCUUGUCUCGCAAUGGCAGAAGAAAGAGAUAUCAUUGCCAAUCGGGAGGAAAGGAAGAGGAUUCUCAGCCCGCCUAGAGUAUAGCUUCCAGCUCGGCUAAGCAAGGACUCCAUCCUAAGUAAAGCAGUCUGAAAGAAAGAUGCCACUUGCACUAUAUAUAAUAUGCAUUUUCCUGGUACACCAAGCCUAAGCAGCUCAGCCGUUGAAGCGACCUCUAAGCCAAAGAGAGAGUCUAUGGCGCUACCCCUACUGUCAGGGAGAGGGUCUUUGUCCUCGAGGGAAGGAAGCGUAAGCCAAGCCAGCUUAACUAAUGACUGGUCAUUGUUACCGAGUUCGUUCCAACGACUACGACCGAGCCUUUUUUCUUUUCAUCCUUAGCGCCUCGGUCUAGAGAACUCCAAUAUUUACGGAUAGGGACUUAAAAUUUGUAAUUAGCCUUGUCUUGACUAGCCUAGUAGCUCUGGUUGCUGAACUAUUGAUGAAGGCUUGUCGUAGAUCAGCUUUUAUUGACUACCGGAGAUGGCUUUAUUGCCAUUUCUUUCUUCGCCGACCCGCCUCCCGCUUAGAGCAUGAAAGGGGAGAAGGAAGAAGUCUUACCUGAGUAAGCCUUAGGCCUUAGGGGAGUAACCUUCCGAUCCGGAUUCAAUGAUUAAGGAGUUUUAUUAUGAGCUUUCUUUCAGAAGGAACGGUUAAGUAGAUUGUAAUUCCGUUGAGGACUUACCCGAAACAGAUGCGCUGCGCUACCCAGCGCGUAACCUUGUCUCCCCUACUCCUCUUCUGGUUAUGCCAUUACCAAUCGCGGGUAACCCCCGGGCCGGCCGCCCCUGACCUAAUAAGAACGAUUAUCCUUAUGACCAAACAGCGAUAGUUUCACGAUCCCGACCAGCAACUUGUUGGGAGUAGGGGCAUCCAAGCUUGCGCGGCGCAGCAGUUCUUCCAUACCAACUUAGCAGCCCGGCGCUGCUAUUGGCAUAACAACCGGUACACCAUAGGUUGGCCCAACCCAGUCCUCUCGUACUAGGGUUGGCUCCUCGCAGUUCUCCCUUUAACACCAACGGUAGAUAGGAACCGAACUGUCUCACGACGUUCUAAACCCAACUCACGUACCACUUGAAUCGGCGAACAACCGAACCCUUGGGACUGCGAUUCUUUAAUUUAAUUUAAAGUAUUGAAUUUUAUUAAUUUUAUUUGAAAAUUUUGUAGAG
This 1979-nucleotide long non-coding RNA is filed under the name Cicer arietinum (chickpea). RNAcentral describes it as "long non-coding RNA (CARI_LNC001567)". Lineage: Eukaryota; Viridiplantae; Streptophyta; Magnoliopsida; Fabales; Fabaceae. The record is from RNAcentral.